Salvelinus namaycush (lake trout) is the source of this 1366-nucleotide long non-coding RNA. RefSeq lists it as uncharacterized. NCBI's taxonomy places the organism in Eukaryota, Metazoa, Chordata, Actinopteri, Salmoniformes, Salmonidae. The transcript is spliced from 2 exons. The record is from RefSeq and is a predicted model, not a curated record.
UUAUGGGACAUAUUGGAGUGCCAACAAAAGAAGUUUGUCAAAGGGUUGAGUAUCAUCUGUGGGGCAUCUCACAAUGGAAUCUGAUGGGUGACUGGGUGGUACUGCUUCCCUCUGCAGUUUUCUGUGGGAAUGAGCUGGUAGACACAACAUACACUGAUUUUGCAAAACAUUAAGGACACCUGCUCUUUUCAUGACAUAGACUGACCAGCUGAACCCAGGUGAAAACUAUAACCCUUAAUGAUGUAGUUGUUAUUGUAUUUAUUUUGGAUACCCAUUAGCUUUCAGUAGAAAACAAGAUGUUGCAGUGGGCUAAGGAAUGAAAACACUGGAGAAUUUUAAAAACAUUGCCUGGUCUGAUGAAUCCCUGUUCCUGCUGUUUCACGCUGAUGGGAGGAAACCACGAGUACAACAUUGCAGGCUGGUGGUGGUAUGAUGGUGUGUUUUCAUGCCACAUAUUGGGCCCCUUGAUAAAAGUGGAGCAACGUUUGUGUAAAGAUCAUUGCCAAUCAGGUGCAUCCCUUCAUGGUGGCAGUGUAUCCAUCUGCAAAUAGAUUUUUUUCAGCAGGAUUACGCCACAAGGCUUGUCUAGAACUGAUUCCAAGAACAUGACAGGGAAUUCAGCUUAAUGCAGUGGCCUGCCGAGUCACCAGAUCUCAAUCCAAUUGUGCAUCUGUGGGAGGAGAUGGAUCAAGCUAUUCGGAGUAGAGAUCCACUCCCAGCCAACUUGACACAAUUGUGGGAAGCAUUGGAGUCAACAUGGGCCAGCAUCCAUGUGGAACGUUCUCAACACCUUGGAGUCCAUACCCCGACGAAUUGAGGCUGUUCUGAGGACAAAAGGAGGUAUAACUCAAUAUUAGGAAGUCGUUCAUAAUGUUUUGUGCACUCAGUGUAUAUCAGAUAAAGAUGUUGUGGUGAUCACUUUUCAGCAUUAGUUUGGGUGGAUUAUUUUAUAUUACUAAACAAUUUUGUUUAAUGAUAAACAGGCUAUGAAUCGACUACUUGUGUUUAUUAAUUUGUCUUUUAAUACUAGAUUCAUUAUUUUAGUCAUUGAUGAUGAAUGUAUUUGAAUAACUGUAUUGAAGUUAAUUGAUCUGGCGGCAGGUAGCCUAGCGGCUAAGAGUGUUGGGCCAGUAACUGAAAGAUUGCUGGUUUGAAUCCCGAGCCGACUAAGUGAAAAAUCUGUCAUUGUGCCCUUGAGCAAGCCAAUACACUCUUUUUGUCCUGUAAGUCUCUCUGGAUAAAAACAUCUGCUAAAUGACAAGAAUGUAAUGAAAAAUAAUGUUUGUACAUGAAUUCAUGCUGGGCAGCCACUUUUUUCUCAUGUGUAUAAUUAAAUGAAAUAAACUGAUUUUAGUUAAAUACUGUA